UGGGCAACCUGCCCUAUAGAGGGGAAUAGCCUUCCGAAAGGAAGAUUAAUACCCCAUAAGAUUGUAGCUUCACAUGGAGCAGCAAUUAAAGGAGCAAUCCGCUAUAGGAUGGGCCCGCGGCGCAUUAGCUAGUUGGUGAGGUAACGGCUCACCAAGGCGACGAUGCGUAGCCGACCUGAGAGGGUGAUCGGCCACAUUGGGACUGAGACACGGCCCAGACCUCUACGGGAG
RNAcentral lists this ribosomal RNA (231 nucleotides) under uncultured bacterium. RNAcentral's name for it is "partial 16S ribosomal RNA". It matches the Rfam family "Bacterial small subunit ribosomal RNA", at positions 118 to 347 of the family's 1533-position model. The record is from RNAcentral.